CGCAGCCGCGGUAAUUCCAGCUCCAAUAGCGUAUAUUAAAGUUGCUGCAGUUAAAAAGCUCGUAGUUGAAUUUCGGGGCUAAUAUGUCGGUCGUGCCUCGGUACGUACUGGUAUUUUUGGUUUCUCCCUUCUGACGAACCUUGAUGUCAUUAAUUUGGUGUCUUGGGAAAUCAGGACUGUUACUUUGAAAAAAUUAGAGUGUUUAAAGCAGGCUCACGCCUGAAUACAUUAGCAUGGAAUAAUGAAAUAGGACGUUUGAUUCUAUUUUGUUGGUUUCUAGGAUUGACGUAAUGAUUAAUAGGGAUAGUUGGGGGCAUUAGUAUUCAAUUGUCAGAGGUGAAAAUUCUUGGAUUUAUUGAAGACUAACUACUGCGAAAGCAAUUUGCCAAGGAUGUUUUCAUUAAUCAAGAACGAGAGUUAGGGAUCGAAGACGAUCAGAUACCGUCGUAGUCUUAACCAUAAACUAUGCCGACUAGGGAUCGGAUGAUGUUAAUUUUUANGUACUCAUUCGGCGCCUUAA
This 520-nucleotide ribosomal RNA is filed under the name uncultured Glomus. Its description in RNAcentral is "SSU rRNA". It matches the Rfam family "Eukaryotic small subunit ribosomal RNA", at positions 569 to 1091 of the family's 1831-position model. Lineage: Eukaryota; Fungi; Glomeromycota; Glomeromycetes; Glomerales; Glomeraceae. The record is from RNAcentral.